This 429-nucleotide ribosomal RNA is filed under the name Chloroflexota bacterium. RNAcentral's name for it is "Chloroflexi bacterium partial 16S ribosomal RNA". It matches the Rfam family "Bacterial small subunit ribosomal RNA", at positions 355 to 776 of the family's 1533-position model. The record is from RNAcentral. Lineage: Bacteria; Bacillati; Chloroflexota.
UGGGGAAUAUUGCACAAUGGGCGCAAGCCUGAUGCAGCCAUGCCGCGUGUGUGAAGAAGGCCUUCGGGUUGUAAAGCACUUUCAGCGGGGAGGAAGGCGGUGAGGUUAAUAACCUCAUCGAUUGACGUUACCCGCAGAAGAAGCACCGGCUAACUCCGUGCCAGCAGCCGCGGUAAUACGGAGGGUGCAAGCGUUAAUCGGAAUUACUGGGCGUAAAGCGCACGCAGGCGGUCUGUCAAGUCGGAUGUGAAAUCCCCGGGCUCAACCUGGGAACUGCAUUCGAAACUGGCAGGCUAGAGUCUUGUAGGGGGGGGUAGAAUUCCAUGUGUAGCGGUGAAAUGCGUAGAGAUGUGGAGGAAUACCGGUGGCGAAGGCGGCUCUCUGGUCUGUAACUGACGCUGAGGCUGGAAAGCGUGGGGAGCAAACAGG